Long non-coding RNA from Lotus japonicus, 2212 nucleotides. RefSeq lists it as uncharacterized. NCBI's taxonomy places the organism in Eukaryota, Viridiplantae, Streptophyta, Magnoliopsida, Fabales, Fabaceae. The transcript has 5 exons. The record is from RefSeq and is a predicted model, not a curated record.
AAACGUAUCAAUAGGUCUCGACUCCCCUCCCCUUCUGAAACGUAUCAAUAGGUCUCUUUAAUUUUUCACAAAAACUUCUGGAUAAAUUGCUUUCAGUUGUCGCUUAUCGUCUCUGCAACUCUUGCGGCGCAGCUUUCGUUUCCACUAGGGUUUGGCCGCACAAAAUCGCCAACUCUGCAACUCUUUGAUUGUUCUUCUGAGAUUAUCUUCUUCCUCCUGAUCCCAAGUGGCAUGGAUAAGAUUUUGAAACCAGGGAAGGUUCGAUCAGUAUCGCAAUUUCACUUCUUCUUCAAUUUCGCUUCACCAUCACCACUUCAAAGACGAAGCUUCCAGAACCCACCCCGAAAAGUGUGUUCCAGAGGCAUGGAUGGAAGUAGUGAUGGGAAUGGGAAAGAGAAGGAGUUAGCGGGAGAAAAUGGUUUCCUGAAAGUGUCAGAGGCUUCUAUCAGUUCUACUAAAUCAGUAUUACAGCUAGAAUAAUUUGUUCUUUUUUUUCCCUAAUUUGUUCUCUUUUUUCCUGAACUAUUUGUUCUCAUGAACCUGUUUCUUUCUGACAUCUAUUUUACGGUAGGGCUAUGAAAAAUCCUCAUAGAAUUUCUCAAGGACUGAGGCUGCUAAUAGAUCCAGUAAGAAUGACACUUGAAGAGGAUUUUAAAAAAACAACAUGCAAAAGUUCCAGGGAUCAAGUCUCAAAUAUAAAUUCUAACUUGACAGUUGCAAGGUUUUGGAUUCUCUGCUUCAUAGCUCAAUAACUAUCUACUUGCUAUUCCUCAAACACUUCAAUUGGCGUCGUCCAUGAAUUCUGCAGCAGACCAACCCACGGUGGAGAGGAGUAUUCACGCGAGCCUUAUGCAGCAGCUUCGGUGGAACCGACCUCCAUAUGGAUUUGUGAAAGCGAACUUUGAUGCGGCAUGUUCAGAUACUCAUAGAACUGGCUUCGGUUUGAUUAUCAGGGAUGUCCAGGGGAUUUAUUAUUUGUUGUGUGCUACAAACCUAUAAGCAAAUUCAAUCCCACCUUGGCAGAAGCAAGCUUUUAGGUGGGCUAUGCAGAACUGUGUAAAUUGGGGGCUCACGAAUAUAGCUUUUGAAACAGAUUGCAGUAUGCUAACUAAAAUAUGGCAUUCCCCGGGUAUUUCUGUAUCAUAUCUGCAUUCCAUUCUGGAAGACUGUAAGAUGAUUAUUUCUAAUGUAGGCACAUACUCUUUGCCAGUGUAAUAUGGUUGCUGAUCUAAUGGCAAAGUAUGCCAUUGUUUUUCCUGAUAAUGUAUGGGUUGAGGAAGGUCCAUUUGGUUUAUGAUCAAUAUUGUUAGAGGACCAAUCUUCCCUUUCCAUUCCUAAUCAAUGAUAUAUAUGUGGUUUGCCCGUAAAAAAAACCAUAUAUGUUUUGUUUUUCAUUAGUUUCUUAUUUCAUCACAAAAGGAUUUAUGACAUAUUUUGCGGUUCAUUGCAAUCGUUUUUCGGUGAUUGCUUAGUGUUAAUUCUUAUUUGGUUUUCAUUUUGCAGUUAUCAUCAGAGUCAUAUUCUGCACGACCAUCGCAGAUUCUAGCUCCAAUUUUAAUGGGGACAUGACAUCUACACCUGGGCUGAGCUUUGCCCCACCUGCUUUAUUAAGUUGGUAGCAGCACAACAAGAAAGUUAAGAUUAGUUUCAAAUCAAAAUCAGGCUGUGUAAAGGAACCUACUCCUGCAGCAUGUUACUUGAAUCACUGUGAUUAGUGGAAUACUUAAAGUGGCUGCUGCGGGAACAUGAGAAUAUAAAAUAUUGUGAUAAGGAGGUUUUCUGAAGGACAGUUUGAAGAGGCACUCUUUGGCUGCAUGUUGGAGAAGUGUGUGAAACCCGGUGUUACAACUUACACUUCUUUUCUGGACGGGAUCUCCCAAGAAGAAAAGAUUGAAGCAGCUUGGAAACAACGUGCAUAUUAAUUACUGAAAUUGAAACCUGUAUUGAUGUUCUUAUUAUGUUCAGUAUCAAGAGCAUAAUUUAGAGUUCGACUUUGGAUUUGGCAACAUUAUAGUGGUUAAUAGCGGUGCUUCUCAAAUUUGUCUAGAGACUCUAGAUCAUGCUGAGGUGAUUUGACUUUUCUUCCUUCUCUAUGUAGCACUUUAGGCAUGGAGUACAUUGCUCAAAGUGACUAAUUUUAAGGCUACAUACUAAUUUUUAUGUAAUAGUUUUGUUGUCUGAUUAUGACUAGAAGCAUAGAUGUGCAAGCCUU